This 253-nucleotide ribosomal RNA is filed under the name uncultured bacterium. RNAcentral describes it as "partial 16S ribosomal RNA". It matches the Rfam family "Bacterial small subunit ribosomal RNA", at positions 524 to 776 of the family's 1533-position model. The record is from RNAcentral.
UACGGGGGGGGCAAGCGUUGUUCGGAAUUACUGGGCGUAAAGGGCUCGUAGGUGGCCAACUAAGUCAGACGUGAAAUCCCUCGGCUUAACCGGGGAACUGCGUCUGAUACUGGAUGGCUUGAGUUUGGGAGAGGGACGCGGAAUUCCAGGUGUAGCGGUGAAAUGCGUAGAUAUCAGGAGGAACACCGGUGGCGAAGGCGGUGAUCUGGGCCGGCACUGACGCUGAGGAGCGAAAGCGUGGGGAGCGAACAGG